AUGGGAGCGAUCUGUAGAAAUCAGCAUGGCUUGUUUCUGGGAGCCUCAGCUGUUGUUUUCCCCAACCUGUCAGACCCAACUACAUUGGAGGCUAUGGCCAUCAGAGAGGCGUUAUCGCUAGCUGACGACCUUUAUGAACGGAAGAUUCAUGUUGCCAGCGAUUGCAAAGUUGCAGUGGAAGACAUCCAUCAGAAGAGCAGAGGGAGUUAUGGUGCAAUUGUGCAUGAAAUAGUGCAGCACACGUCUACCUUUCAAACUUGUAAUAUUAAGCAUGAAUUUCGUAGCUCGAACUUCGAGGCUCGCAAAGUACGCUUUAUCAUUAGGAGCUGGCCGCCAUGUUUGGUUAGGCCAGCCCAAUGGACUUGGUUUCGUCCCUGUAAACGUUGUGACGGAGUAAUAAAGCUUUGCAGUUUGUCUAAAAAACCAAGAUGA
Molecule: ribosomal RNA, 432 nt
Filed under: Triticum aestivum (bread wheat)
Lineage: Eukaryota; Viridiplantae; Streptophyta; Magnoliopsida; Poales; Poaceae
Description: partial small subunit ribosomal RNA
Source: RNAcentral